UCAUAACAAUAAGCUGAACAUAUACAUUGAGUGGUGAAUAUCUUGAUCGACUUUUUAUAUAAAUAAGAAUUUGUUUAUCUUCGAAGAAAUUUACUCCUAACAUACUGCUAAGUUAUCGUACGUACAAUUCGAAUGUGAAACAAUAUAAAAGCUACCAGUCAGUUUACAUAAGAGCAAUCAUAUCUUUUUACCUGUUACAAUAUGUUCAUAUUAUGUAUUAUUUCUUCGCGUAAUCACAAACUAAAUGUUAACAUGACUUAAAACAUCGAUGUGC
Molecule: long non-coding RNA, 274 nt
Organism: Bombus terrestris (buff-tailed bumblebee)
Lineage: Eukaryota; Metazoa; Arthropoda; Insecta; Hymenoptera; Apidae
Exons: 2
Source: RefSeq, a predicted model, not a curated record